UAGGGAAUCUUCCGCAAUGGGCGAAAGCCUGACGGAGCAACGCCGCGUGAGUGAUGAAGGUCUUCGGAUCGUAAAACUCUGUUAUUAGGGAAGAACAAAUGUGUAAGUAACUAUGCACGUCUUGACGGUACCUAAUCAGAAAGCCACGGCUAACUACGUGCCAGCAGCCGCGGUAAUACGUAGGUGGCAAGCGUUAUCCGGAAAUAUUGGGCGUAAAGCGCGCGUAGGCGGUUUUUUAAGUCUGAUGUGAAAGCCCACGGCUCAACCGUGGAGGGUCAUUGGAAACUGGAAAACUUGAGUGCAGAAGAGGAAAGUGGAAUUCCAUGUGUAGCGGUGAAAUGCGCAGAGAUAUGGAGGAACACCAGUGGCGAAGGCGACUUUCUGGUCUGUAACUGACGCUGAUGUGCGAAAGCGUGGGGAUCAAACAGG
This 429-nucleotide ribosomal RNA is filed under the name Actinomycetes bacterium. Its description in RNAcentral is "Actinobacteria bacterium partial 16S ribosomal RNA". It matches the Rfam family "Bacterial small subunit ribosomal RNA", at positions 355 to 776 of the family's 1533-position model. Lineage: Bacteria; Bacillati; Actinomycetota; Actinomycetes. The record is from RNAcentral.